RNAcentral lists this long non-coding RNA (477 nucleotides) under Mytilus galloprovincialis (Mediterranean mussel). The record is from RNAcentral. Lineage: Eukaryota; Metazoa; Mollusca; Bivalvia; Mytilida; Mytilidae.
AGAAUAAUUAACUAGAUAUCAUUGAGAUGGGAGCCAUCUCUGUGGGCCCCGCUGUGAAUAAUGUGCAUUAAAAAAUUGUAUCUUUACCAUAGGACAUGGUUUGUCAACUGAAAUCAAAGUUUUUGACCUUGACCUUUGACCUAGGAAGUUGUAAAUAAAUUAUGACACACCCUUUGGUGUUGGUUUAUAAACAUGUCAAGUAUAAACUUUGAAAUGAUAACGGUUCUCAAGAUAUAGAGCGGACACGAUCUUUACCAUAGGACAUGGGGUUGUCAACUGAAACCAAAGUUUUUGACCUUGACCUUUGACCUAGGAAGUUGCACAUCAAUUAUGACACACCCUUUGGUGUUGGUUUAUAUACAUGUCAAGUAUAAACUUUGAAAUGAUAAUGGUUCUCAAGAUAUAGAGCGGACACGAUCUUUACCACAGGACACAGGGUUGUCAACUGAAACCAAAGUUUUUGACCUUGAACUUUGA